UACGAAGGGUGCAAGCGUUACUCGGAAUUACUGGGCGUAAAGCGUGCGUAGGCGGUUUGUUAAGUCCGCUGUGAAAGCCCCGGGCUCAACCUGGGAACUGCAUUUGAAACUGGCGGGCUUGAGUGUGGCAGAGGGGGGUGGAAUUCCGCGUGUAGCAGUGAAAUGCGUAGAGAUGUGGAGGAACACCGAUGGCGAAGGCAGCCUCCUGGGCCAGCACUGACGCUCAUGCACGAAAGCGUGGGGAGCAAACAGG
RNAcentral lists this ribosomal RNA (253 nucleotides) under uncultured bacterium. Its description in RNAcentral is "partial 16S ribosomal RNA". It matches the Rfam family "Bacterial small subunit ribosomal RNA", at positions 524 to 776 of the family's 1533-position model. The record is from RNAcentral.